CUGCUUUGGCAGCACAUAUACUAUAACUGGAAUGAUACAGAGAAGAUUAACAUGGCCCCUGUGCAAGGAUAACAUGUAAAUUCAUGAAGAUUUACAUAUUUUU
Small nuclear RNA from Panthera leo (lion), 103 nucleotides. Lineage: Eukaryota; Metazoa; Chordata; Mammalia; Carnivora; Felidae. The record is from Ensembl.